AAGUCGUACGCAUUCCCGUUUUUGAUUGAAGGUGCUUGCACCUGAUUGAUAAAACAUCGGAAUGAGUGGCGGACGGGUGAGUAACACGUGGGUAACCUGCCCAGAAGUGGGGGAUAACAUUUGGAAACAGAUGCUAAUACCGCAUAAUAGAUAGAACCACAUGGUUCUAUUUUGAAAGAUGGCCUUUGUGCUAUCACUUCUGGAUGGACCCGCGGUGUAUUAGCUAGUUGGUAAGGUAACGGCUUACCAAGGCAAUGAUACAUAGCCGAACUGAGAGGUUGAUCGGCCACAAUGGGACUGAGACACGGCCCAUACUCCUACGGGAGGCAGCAGUAGGGAAUCUUCCACAAUGGGCGCAAGCCUGAUGGAGCAACACCGCGUGAGUGAAGAAGGGUUUCGGCUCGUAAAACUCUGUUGUUAAAGAAGAACGUAUCUAAGAGUAACUGCUUAGGUAGUGACGGUAUUUAACCAGAAAGCCACGGCUAACUACGUGCCAGCAGCCGCGGUAAUACGUAGGUGGCAAGCGUUAUCCGGAUUUAUUGGGCGUAAAGCGAGCGCAGGCGGUUUUUUAAGUCUGAUGUGAAAGCCUUCGGCUUAACCGAAGAAGUGCAUCGGAAACUGGGAAACUUGAGUGCAGAAGAGGACAGUGGAACUCCAUGUGUAGCG
RNAcentral lists this ribosomal RNA (666 nucleotides) under Paucilactobacillus vaccinostercus. RNAcentral describes it as "bacterial SSU rRNA". It matches the Rfam family "Bacterial small subunit ribosomal RNA", at positions 59 to 680 of the family's 1533-position model. Lineage: Bacteria; Bacillati; Bacillota; Bacilli; Lactobacillales; Lactobacillaceae. The record is from RNAcentral.